AGUCAUCAUCUCUAUAUAAUGAACCUCUGGCAACCACCAAGAAUUACAGGGCAUCGUUAUGUGAUGAUGGAUUGUAUAAACGGUACAGUAAUCAUCCUCCUUCAGAAGAUAGUUAUUAUUCUUCAAGAGCAAGUUCAUCACGAAGUAGUCCAGUG
Non-coding RNA from Thamnophis sirtalis, 155 nucleotides. The record is from RefSeq and is a predicted model, not a curated record. Lineage: Eukaryota; Metazoa; Chordata; Lepidosauria; Squamata; Natricidae.